RNAcentral lists this ribosomal RNA (498 nucleotides) under uncultured bacterium. RNAcentral's name for it is "partial 16S ribosomal RNA". It matches the Rfam family "Bacterial small subunit ribosomal RNA", at positions 28 to 523 of the family's 1533-position model. The record is from RNAcentral.
GACGAACGCUGGCGGCGUGCCUAACACAUGCAAGUCGAGCGGAGUCAGUAAGAGGAAGUUUUCGGAUGGAAUCUUAUUGAUUUAGCGGCGGACGGGUGAGUAACGCGUGAGCGACCAACCUUGCACAGGGGGAUAACGGACCGAAAGGUUCACUAAUACCGCAUGAGACCACGGUGUUGCAUGACACAGAGGUCAAAGGAGCAAUCCGGUGCAAGACGGGCUCGCGUCCGAUUAGGUAGUUGGAGGGGUAACGGCCCACCAAGCCUAUGAUCGGUAGCCGACCUGGGAGGGGGAGCGGCCACAUUGGAACUGAGAUACGGUCCAAACUCCUACGGGAGGCAGCAGUGGGGAAUAUUGGGCAAUGGGGGAAACCCUGACCCAGCAACGCCGCGUGAAGGAAGAAGGUUUUCGGAUUGUAAACUUCUGUCCUUGGUGAAGAGAAGAAGACGGUAGCCAAGGAGGAAGCCCCGGCUAACUACGUGCCAGCCGCCGCUGUAA